Molecule: ribosomal RNA, 402 nt
Filed under: uncultured bacterium
Lineage: Bacteria
Description: bacterial SSU rRNA
Rfam family: Bacterial small subunit ribosomal RNA
Source: RNAcentral
UGGGGAAUAUUGGACAAUGGGCAAAAGCCUGAUCCAGCCAUGCCGCAUGAGUGAAGAAGGCCUUUGGGUUGUAAAGCUCUUUUAGUGAGGAAGAUAAUGACGGUACUCACAGAAGAAGUCCUGGCUAACUCCGUGCCAGCAGCCGCGGUAAUACGGAGAGGGCUAGCGUUAUUCGGAAUUAUUGGGCGUAAAGGACGCGUAGGCUGGUUAGUAAGUUAAAAGUGAAAUCCCGAGGCUUAACCUUGGAACUGCUUUUAAAACUGCUAACCUAGAGAUUGAAAGAGGAUAGAGGAAUUCCUAGUGUAGAGGUGAAAUUCGUAAAUAUUAGGAGGAACACCAGUGGCGAAGGCGUCUAUCUGGUUCAAAUCUGACGCUGAGGCGCGAAGGCGUGGGGAGCAAACA